This is an RNA transcript of Panicum virgatum (switchgrass), 1151 nucleotides long. It is a transcript of the gene named auxin-responsive protein SAUR32-like, with no coding region annotated. The record is from RefSeq and is a predicted model, not a curated record. NCBI's taxonomy places the organism in Eukaryota, Viridiplantae, Streptophyta, Magnoliopsida, Poales, Poaceae. The transcript has 3 exons.
CGCCUCUCCCCUCCUCUCCUCUUAUACUUGCACGGGCAACUCGCCUCCUCCCUCCCCGCAGAGACCCCUCGAUCGAGCCAAACAAAAGCCAAGAAGAAUCCAGCCGGCCGUGUCGCGCCGAGCCAACAAGCACACGCGCCUCGCCCUCCCCAGCGCACACCAACCACAGCCUCCUCCUCGCCGCCAUGCAGCAGCAGCCGCGCCGCCGCGCCUCCCCGGCCGCGUCGCUCUGACGUGCGGCGCCGUCGUCCGUCCUCUCGACCGUGCUGCCAUCUGUCCGAUCGAUCGAUCCAUGGGGGUUCACCUGCAGCUGCUGAAGAAGCAGCCCUCGUCGGCGUCGCUGGAGGGCUCGAGGAGCGGGGGGUCGUCGCCGCCGAUGCCGCCCAAGGGGUGCAUGGCGGUGCGCGUGGUGGGGCCUGGCGGCGGGGAGGAGGAAGAGGAGGAGCGGUUCGUGGUGCCGGUGGGGUACCUGAAGCACCCGCUGUUCGUGGCGCUGCUCAAGGCAGCGGAGGACGAGUACGGCUUCGAGCAGAAGGGCGCCAUCACCAUCCCCUGCGGCGUCGACCACUUCCGCCACGUCCAGGGCAUCAUCCAACACCAGAAGCACCACCACCACAUCUCAUCCGGCUUCGUCUCCGGCGACGGCGGCCACCAUGGCCACCACAACAACCACCACCACUUCCACAUCGCGGGGUGCUUCCGCGCCUGAUGCGAUGCGGGGAUGCGGGGUUCGAGAUCUCCAGCGGAUGCAUGGAUCCAAAAACAAUAAUAUAUAGUACCUAUUUUAUUUAGGUUUUUUUGUCUUGAUUAUUAGGACUUUUUAGAUGCAGGCAUGCCGCAGAUCGUAUGAUCGAAGGAUCGUGGUUGGUUGCUUGAGUUAUUAGCGUAAUCGUGGAUCUGCAGGUUUGGACAUAUGGAUGGAUGGGUCGAUCGAUCAUUAGAGUUAGUUUUUCUCUAGGUUUCUUAUGAUGAUGAUGAAAAGGAAAUCAAAGAAUCGUUCAUGUUUCAGUGUUUAUAGACUUUAUGCUCUGCCCUCUCUUUAUUUCCCUUUCUCUUUCUCUUGUAUUCUAGUUCUUGUUUCUCUUUUGUGAUCGAAUGCUAGGUGCUACCAGUUGUUGUUGGCAUAUAUCUUUCGAGAUUAAUUUCUGAGA